RNAcentral lists this ribosomal RNA (452 nucleotides) under uncultured bacterium. RNAcentral's name for it is "bacterial SSU rRNA". It matches the Rfam family "Bacterial small subunit ribosomal RNA", at positions 29 to 524 of the family's 1533-position model. The record is from RNAcentral.
AACGAACGCUGGCGGCAUGCCUAACACAUGCAAGUCGAACGAGACCUUCGGGUCUAGUGGCGCACGGGUGCGUAACGCGUGGGAAUCUACCCCUUGGGUUCGGAAUAACUCAGAGAAAUUUGAGCUAAUACCGGAUGAUGUCGCAAGACCAAAGAUUUAUCGCCCCAAGGACGAGCCCGCGUAGGAUUAGCUUGUUGGUGAGGUAAAAAGCUCACCAAGGCGACGAUCCUUAGCUGGUCUGAGAGGAUGAUCAGCCACACUGGGACUGAGACACGGCCCAGACUCCUACGGGAGGCAGCAGUGGGGAAUAUUGGACAAUGGGCGAAAGCCUGAUCCAGCAAUGCCGCGUGAGUGAUGAAGGCCUAGGGUUGUAAAGCUCUUUUACCCGGGAUGAUAAUGACAGUACCGGGAGAAUAAGCCCCGGCUAACUCCGUGCCAGCAGCCGCGGUAAU